Long non-coding RNA from Oreochromis aureus, 1359 nucleotides. The record is from Ensembl. NCBI's taxonomy places the organism in Eukaryota, Metazoa, Chordata, Actinopteri, Cichliformes, Cichlidae.
AACAGAGACAGUUUGGGGAAUCACACACGUGUUCACUCCAACAUCUCUCUCUCCGCUAGCGACCAGUCACUCUUUCCACACUCCACACGGGGAAACACGGGAACGGGUCCGGGGAAUUAGGGUCUUCACAACAAUUCAGCGUCGAACAGCUGACCUCCUCCAUCUUAAAUACCAGCUGAUCUGAUGAGGCCCAGGUGUUCCCAAUCCAGGAAGGCGUGGACCGAGGGCGUGAACCCACCAUGAGUUCCGCCCCGGCAAAACAAGAGAGGGAGGGAGAGAGAUAGAGAUAGAGAGCCAGGAGCAGGGAUAUUAUGAUCAGCGCCUUGCUGAUCCUGCAGGUCGUGACAGAAACGGUGGGAAUGAGAAUCGGCACCUCCAAAAUUUGAGGCCAUGGUCCUCAGCCGGAAAAGGGUGGAGUGCCCACUCCGGGUCAGGGACGAGUUCCUGCCCCAAGUGGAGGAGUUCUUGUUCAUGAGUGAUGGUAGAAGGGAGCCGGAGAUCGAUAGAUGGAUUGGUCUGUUGUGGUGAAGAGAGAGCUGAGUCUAAAAGCGAAGCUCUCAAUUUACCGGUCGAUCUACGCCCCUGCCCUCACCUAUGGCCACGAGCUGUGGGUAGUGACCGAAAUUGCGGAUAGAUGCCGGAUAGGGUGGCUCUCCCUUUGAGAUAGAGUGAGAAUUUCAGGCAUCCGGGAGGGGCUCAGAGUAGAGCCACUGCUCCUCCACAUCCAAAGCAGCCAGUUGAGGUGGUUCGGGCAUCUGACAAGGAUGCCUCCUGGGGUGAGGGGUGAAGCUUGAGGAGGUGGCUGGGGAGAGGGAGGUUUGGGCUUCUCUGCUUGGGCUGCUGUCCCCGUGACCCGGCCCCGGAUAAGCAGAAGAAAAUGGAUGGAUCUAUUUUGGCAUUUUUUUUACGAAAAUAUAGUUGAUGCCUGGUUUACUUUCACAAGGUUAUGAAAUGAGGACAAGACUGGGUGGAUGGAAAACAAGAUACAAGAUAGUUGCUCAAUAUAAACCUUUUCUGUAUGAAACCAAACCAGUGUCUUUCUAUCUAACCACAAAAACUUUAUAUAGGCAUUAAUGUUGUUAGUAGUCAGAAACAUAUGAUGGUUAAAAUUUCAUUAAAAAUCUGUUUGUUGUUUCAGUUUAAGACCGUAAAAUAAACUGAGAAAAGAUGGCAGCUGGCCUGCAGCAUUCAGCGUCUGUCUCAUUUAGAACCCAAAAAGGAGGGAAAAGUCAGAGCAAGAGCAGCCAUUAGACUUCUUUCAGGCUUCAUCUGGAUUUUGGACUCUGGAGUUGGAGAAACUGCCUUCAAAUUUCCGUGUGCAGAGCAAUGGCCAAGCAAAGGAAAGACUUCCCUGAGUGA